Molecule: non-coding RNA, 61 nt
Filed under: unclassified sequences
Description: DUF3800-IX RNA
Rfam family: DUF3800-IX RNA
About the family: Actinobacteria, Firmicutes (1 example), Nitrospirae, Proteobacteria, Verrucomicrobia (1 example). Nearby to DUF3800
Source: Rfam by way of RNAcentral
GACCCAUGUCCGAAUUGUCACCGUAUGGUGCGCGUGCCGAUGGCUAGGACAUGGGUUUUUU